AACUUGAUUGCUUGUUUCCUGGAUUGUGGCUGUCUUCGAUCACGCCUGAUGUAUACAAAGUUUCUGAUGCUCCUCCAAAGGGAUAGAUGAUCCAUUUUUAUAAACUGGGAACUUGAAGGUGAAUGACUGCCCAACUUGUUGACACCAGCGUAAAGUGUAAAACACUAUGAGCCUGUAAAGAUGAAAGGGUAACGAAUGUAUCUUGUUUUUGUGCCUUUUCUCUAUACAGCAAGGAGCUCACUGCAAGUUUGAAGGGUUAUAGUCCGUAGUUUUGAGUAGCUGACUUUGUAGUUUGUACAUAAGAACUCUCAAUCAAUGGGUAGAAAUUUUAAUAUCAUUGUUUAUGUUUUCAGUUAAUAUGAAAUCAAAUGUUUUUUAGGCUGUUUAUUUUGCAUGAUAAUUCAUGAGAUAUUUUUUCUCGUUAGCUGACAUGUUGAA
This 438-nucleotide unclassified non-coding RNA is filed under the name Hevea brasiliensis (rubber tree). Lineage: Eukaryota; Viridiplantae; Streptophyta; Magnoliopsida; Malpighiales; Euphorbiaceae. The record is from RNAcentral.